CCCUCGCUAGCUCAGUGGUAGAGCUGCUGGCUCUUAACCAGUAGGUCCGGGGUUCGAUUCCCUGGCGGGGGAC
This 73-nucleotide transfer RNA is filed under the name Mycobacteroides abscessus subsp. abscessus. RNAcentral's name for it is "tRNA-Lys(ctt)". It matches the Rfam family "tRNA". From Rfam's summary of the family: Transfer RNA (tRNA) molecules are approximately 80 nucleotides in length. Their secondary structure includes four short double-helical elements and three loops (D, anti-codon, and T loops). The record is from RNAcentral. RNAcentral also lists the same sequence under 1 other name. Lineage: Bacteria; Bacillati; Actinomycetota; Actinomycetes; Mycobacteriales; Mycobacteriaceae.